RNAcentral lists this long non-coding RNA (317 nucleotides) under Aquila chrysaetos chrysaetos. Its description in RNAcentral is "lncRNA (ENSACCG00020006369.1)". Lineage: Eukaryota; Metazoa; Chordata; Aves; Accipitriformes; Accipitridae. The record is from RNAcentral.
CUGCCACAAUUGGGAUAAGAGUGAAAUGAACAUUCCAUUUCCAAGCUCCGGAUGUACGGGAGAUAAUAUAGAGAUCUGACACCCAUGUCUAUUUGGCUGUUGAAUCUUGGCAACUGAGUCCAUUAACCCCGUAGCGUCAUGUACUCCUGGAGUCUUCUUGAGAGCUGUGUGAUGUUAUAGGCAGCAGAGUUUACAGUGGCACAAAUCAGGAAUAACGUCAGUGAAGUCUGUGGAAUUAAACUGGUGUAAGUGAGGAUAUUCAGGCUUUUCUUCUAUUCAGACCUCCUUACUCUGACAUGUAAAUUGACUACCUUUUU